CAGAGAAUAGUUUAAUAUAAAAUAUUAAUUUUGGAGAUUAAAGUUAGGAAUUCAUCUUUUCUCUGA
RNAcentral lists this transfer RNA (66 nucleotides) under Contacyphon variabilis. RNAcentral describes it as "tRNA-Pro". Lineage: Eukaryota; Metazoa; Arthropoda; Insecta; Coleoptera; Scirtidae. The record is from RNAcentral.